Molecule: ribosomal RNA, 497 nt
Filed under: uncultured bacterium
Lineage: Bacteria
Description: partial 16S ribosomal RNA
Rfam family: Bacterial small subunit ribosomal RNA
Source: RNAcentral
GAUGAACGCUGGCGGCGUGCCUAAUACAUGCAAGUCGAGCGAACAGACGAGGAGCUUGCUCCUCUGACGUUAGCGGCGGACGGGUGAGUAACACGUGGAUAACCUACCUAUAAGACUGGGAUAACUUCGGGAAACCGGAGCUAAUACCGGAUAAUAUAUUGAACCGCAUGGUUCAAUAGUGAAAGACGGUUUUGCUGUCACUUAUAGAUGGAUCCGCGCCGCAUUAGCUAGUUGGUAAGGUAACGGCUUACCAAGGCGACGAUGCGUAGCCGACCUGAGAGGGUGGUCGGCCACACUGGAACUGAGACACGGUCCAGACUCCUACGGGAGGCAGCAGUAGGGAAUCUUCCGCAAUGGGCGAGAGCCUGACGGAGCAACGCCGCGUGAGUGAUGAAGGUCUUCGGAUCGUAAAACUCUGUUAUUAGGGAAGAACAAAUGUGUAAGUAACUAUGCACGUCUUGACGGUACCUAAUCAGAAAGCCACGGCUAACUACGUG